CAGAGUGUAGUUUAGUGGGAGAAUUCUGGCUUUGGGAGCCAGGGGCAGGGGUUUGAAUCCCCUCUUUCUGA
RNAcentral lists this transfer RNA (71 nucleotides) under Aseraggodes kaianus (Kai sole). Its description in RNAcentral is "tRNA-Pro". It matches the Rfam family "tRNA". From Rfam's summary of the family: Transfer RNA (tRNA) molecules are approximately 80 nucleotides in length. Their secondary structure includes four short double-helical elements and three loops (D, anti-codon, and T loops). Lineage: Eukaryota; Metazoa; Chordata; Actinopteri; Pleuronectiformes; Soleidae. The record is from RNAcentral.